GAGACAUCUGAAAGCCCCUGUGGAAGGCUGAACAAUGAUGCCAGGGCAUCAGCUGUCAGCUCUAGAACCUGUGAACGGCCCUAUUUGGUAAAAAGGUCAUGGCAGAUGUGAUUAAGUUAAGGGUUUUGAGAUGGGAGAUUAUCCUGGACUUUUCCAAUGUGCCCUAAACACCAGCACAAGUCAUAAGACAGAUGCAGAGGGAAAUCAGAACCCACAGAAGAGCAGGAGGCACCGGGUCCACAGAGGCCGUGACUGGAGGGAUGCGACUGAAAGUCGAGGGGUACCAGCAGCCACCAGACGCUACAAGAUGGUAAGGACAGACUCUCCCUAGAGCCUCGAAGGGAGCGUGGCCCAGCCAACACUGCAACUUCGGCCCAGGGACACUGAUCUCAGAGUUCUGGCCUCCUCAGCUCUGAGAGAAUCAAUUUCUGUUCUUUGAAUCCACCAGGUUUUUGUCAUUUGUGACAGCGGCCUCAGGAAAGGAAUCCAGCUCUAACCCCCACCAGGCGCUGGAGAAACACAACACAGAGGAGCACAUUGUGGCCCUAUGGAGAAGGAGGUUGACGAGAAGUACAACCCCACCUGGCACAGCCUUGUGGGGAGGACCUUCAGGUUAUGUGACACAGGAACCCACACACUUCAUCUUCAUCUGCUUGGGCCAGUGACCAUUCUGCUGUUCAAAUCUGGGUAAAAGCAAGGAUGUGCCACACACCCACUGAUCCAUCCAAAAACAAGGACUGCAGCCUAUAUUCCAAAUACCAGGGACUGGAGUCUUCUGCCUCGCCUGAGGGAGCAACCUCGAUCUUUGAACCUUUGUCACGUUGUUUCAUACAGGGCAUGCUCCUUCCGAAUUUGUUGUGGUUAAAAAGCAACUAGCAAACAGCUUAUGUUUGUCUUUAUUUUCACUGAGAAAGAAGAGACUUCACUACUUCAACAAGAGGGUCCAUCUUGUCAGGACUUGCUGUUAUGGGAGAAAAUCGUGACAGAUCACUUGUGCACUUAUCCUUCUCAUGACCACUGUGACAUGCCACACCUGCUUCUGCUGCAGGCAUGAACAGCAGAGGAGGCCCAUGAGAAUGUGCAUGAAGACUGCACAGCAAAGCUAUGGCUGCAAAUACCUCCCCCAAGCAUCUCCAGGGGUCCCGCGAUAUCUAACAGGAAUCCAGAACACUCCCCCCGUAUCAGAUGUGAAAGCACUGCUUUACCUGACUACUACAAAAGUGCAACUCUGUUCCUAGGGUCCCCCACCAACCAUGCUGAGCCCCCCAUCAUGACUGGGCUUUGUCUGCCUUGAAGCCUCAAAUCUCAUGUGUCAGCCAACACAUUUGCAAUUGUAUAUAACCAAGAACUCAGCUCAAGCUGGAAGAAAUAAACAAGGGCCACAGUUGGAGCAAUCCAGAAGGUCAGGCUUAGGGGUCCUUGGACCCAUUGUGGACCAAGUUCGCAAGAACCCAGGAUAUUUUCACCAGUGUCUGAUUUAUGCCCAGAUCCCCUUCUUUACAAAAGUGAGAGGGCUGCUGCAAUCCUGGGGCAACAUUGUUUUUGUACCUUUCAAGACAAUAAGAGCUUUUAUUUCUCCAACGACUGAACAAACAUACUGAGCUUCACAGUCAUGGAAGUUUCCACCACAACCACCUUCCCCUCAACCCGAUCAUCAUUUUGGUGAAUGGAAUCUCCCCUCUAGUUGCUGGGGCCUUGGGUAGGGGUACAACCUCGAACACUCUCUGAGGUCAGGUGUGUGGGUCAAGCAUCCGACGCCGGAGCGGGAAGUGAGGUCAUUCCCACCUGAACAGUGUGUCUGAGAGAGGGGGGUUGGGUAAAGGACAGCGUCCCAGAUACAGACAUCAAUAGUUGUGUUGUAAUCAGGAUCAUAGCAGACAAGCUUCCAGAAUCAAAUGUUGUGCAAUCACCAAGGAGCCAUAUAAACAGUGGCUCUCCCCACUUGCAGCAGCCUCACUGGGUCCCAGUCUCAGAGCAGCUCCUCCAUCUCUUCCCACCACCCAGCAUCCAGCUGGCGUUUACCAUGCGGGGCCUCUGCUUCAUGCUCCUGACCUGCUUCAUCCUUUUUCCUCACUUUGCCACAGCCCAGGUCCAGGUUGUAGACUCAGAGAAGGAGUGCAAUAAAAGAGAGGCCGAGUGUAAAUGGUUUUACUGCCCAGAAAAUCAUGACCGUCUUGGCACCUGUUGGUUUGGGAUAAAGAAAUGCUGUCUGCGCCAGGAAUGAGCUGAAGAACAUGGGAGGACAAGGAGCCCGGAGAAUGAAAUAAAGGCCUGACUGUAACUCUGAAA
Molecule: long non-coding RNA, 2289 nt
Organism: Equus quagga
Lineage: Eukaryota; Metazoa; Chordata; Mammalia; Perissodactyla; Equidae
Exons: 2
Source: RefSeq, a predicted model, not a curated record